AAGCAAUCUAUACCGUGAACUGCGAAUGGCUCAUUAAAUCAGUUAUCGUUUAUUUGAUAGUACCUACUUACUUGGAUAACCGUGGUAAUUCUAGAGCUAAUACAUGCUAAAAACCUCGACUUCGGAAGGGGUGUAUUUAUUAGAUAAAAAACCAAUGCCCUCCGGGGCUCCCUGGUGAUUCAUAAUAACUAAACGAAUCGCAUGGCCUUGCGCCGGCGAUGGUUCAUUCAAAUUUCUGCCCUAUCAACUUUCGAUGGUAGGAUAGUGGCCUACCAUGGUGGCAACGGGUAACGGGGAAUUAGGGUUCUAUUCCGGAGAGGGAGCCUGAGAAACGGCUACCACAUCCAAGGAAGGCAGCAGGCGCGCAAAUUACCCAAUCCCGACACGGGGAGGUAGUGACAAUAAAUACUGAUGUGGAGCUCUUUAGGGUUUCACAAUUGGAAUGAGAAAAAUCUAAACCACUUAAACGAGGAACAAUUGGAGGGCAAGUCUGGUGCCAGCAGCCGCGGUAAUUCCAGCUCCAAUAGCGUAUAUUAAAGUUGUUGCAGUUAAAAAGCUCGUAGUUGAACCUUGGGCCUGGCCGGCCGGUCCGCCUCACCGCGUGCACUGGUUCGGCCGGGCCUUUCCUCCUGGGGAACCGCAUGCCCUUCACUGGGUGUGCCGGGGAAUCAGGACUUUUACUUUGAAAAAAUUAGAGUGUUCAAAGCAGGCAUUUGCUCGAAUACAUUAGCAUGGGAAUAAUAGAAUAGGACGANGUGGGUUCUAUUUUGUUUGGUUUCUAGGACCGCCGUAAUGAUA
This 798-nucleotide ribosomal RNA is filed under the name Placopsis perrugosa. RNAcentral's name for it is "SSU rRNA". It matches the Rfam family "Eukaryotic small subunit ribosomal RNA", at positions 67 to 870 of the family's 1831-position model. The record is from RNAcentral. Lineage: Eukaryota; Fungi; Ascomycota; Lecanoromycetes; Trapeliales; Trapeliaceae.